Molecule: ribosomal RNA, 490 nt
Filed under: uncultured bacterium
Lineage: Bacteria
Description: partial 16S ribosomal RNA
Rfam family: Bacterial small subunit ribosomal RNA
Source: RNAcentral
AUUGAACGCUGGCGGCAGGCUUAACACAUGCAAGUCGAGCGGUAGCACAAGAGAGCUUGCUCUCUGGGUGACGAGCGGCGGACGGGUGAGUAAUGUCUGGGAAACUGCCUGAUGGAGGGGGAUAACUACUGGAAACGGUAGCUAAUACCGCAUAACGUCGCAAGCCCAAAGAGGGGGACCUUCGGGCCUCUUGCCAUCAGAUGUGCCCAGAUGGGAUUAGCUAGUAGGUGGGGUAAUGGCUCACCUAGGCGACGAUCCCUAGCUGGUCUGAGAGGAUGACCAGCCACCCUGGAACUGAGACACGGUCCAGACUCCUACGGGAGGCAGCAGUGGGGAAUAUUGCACAGUGGGCGCAAGCCUGACGCAGCCAGGCCGCGUGUGUGAAGAAGGCCUUCGGGUUGUAAAGCACUUUCAGCGAGGAGGAAGGUGGUGAACUUAAUACGUUCAUCAAUUGACGUUACUCGCAGAAGAAGCACCGGCUAACUCCGUG